UACGGAGGAUGCGAGCGUUAUCCGGAUUUAUUGGGUUUAAAGGGUGCGUAGGCGGCAUGUCAAGUCAGCGGUAAAAUUUCGGGGCUCAACCCCGACGAGCCGUUGAAACUGGCAGGCUUGAGUGAGCGAGAAGUAUGCGGAAUGCGUGGUGUAGCGGUGAAAUGCAUAGAUAUCACGCAGAACUCCGAUUGCGAAGGCAGCAUACCGGCGCUCAACUGACGCUGAGGCACGAAAGUGUGGGUAUCAAACAGG
RNAcentral lists this ribosomal RNA (252 nucleotides) under uncultured bacterium. RNAcentral's name for it is "partial 16S ribosomal RNA". It matches the Rfam family "Bacterial small subunit ribosomal RNA", at positions 524 to 776 of the family's 1533-position model. The record is from RNAcentral.